ACCUAGCUGACGAGUUCCAAAAAGGACGAGACGCGCAUCAUGGAU
This 45-nucleotide non-coding RNA is filed under the name Schistosoma curassoni. Lineage: Eukaryota; Metazoa; Platyhelminthes; Trematoda; Strigeidida; Schistosomatidae. The record is from RNAcentral.